Molecule: transfer RNA, 74 nt
Filed under: Verrucomicrobiota bacterium
Lineage: Bacteria; Pseudomonadati; Verrucomicrobiota
Also listed under: 2 other names
Description: Verrucomicrobia bacterium (activated sludge metagenome) tRNA-Met
Rfam family: tRNA
About the family: Transfer RNA (tRNA) molecules are approximately 80 nucleotides in length. Their secondary structure includes four short double-helical elements and three loops (D, anti-codon, and T loops). Further hydrogen bonds mediate the characteristic L-shaped molecular structure. tRNAs have two regions of fundamental functional importance: the anti-codon, which is responsible for specific mRNA codon recognition, and the 3' end, to which the tRNAs corresponding amino acid is attached (by aminoacyl-tRNA synthetases). tRNAs cope with the degeneracy of the genetic code in two manners: having more than one tRNA (with a specific anti-codon) for a particular amino acid; and 'wobble' base-pairing, i.e. permitting non-standard base-pairing at the 3rd anti-codon position.
Source: RNAcentral
GGCGGUAUAGCUCAGUUGGUUAGAGCAGAGGAAUCAUAAUCCUUGUGUCGUUGGUUCGAAUCCGACUACCGCUA